UUUGGAAAGUGGCAUAUAUGAUUGUGAAAUUUGAAAAAGAGUGUGUAUGUUUGAAAAUGAAAAGUAUGAAACAGUAAAUGUACUGUUUGGAGUGGUGAAGAUAGUCUUGACAACCCUAUUUACUCAAAAUGACAUGUUUGCCUUCUGCUUAACUUAAUUCCAAUAAACAUAUUAUUGGAACCAACCAUUGAAUUAUAUAUAGUUGAUAACAGCCUUGAGAAGAAACUUGCCUGUGGAGGACCAUGUUCAGAGGUUUGAUGCCUAUAUUCAUGCAUAAUCCAGUCCGUUUUCCUUCCAUUAGGGGCACGUCCCUUGUAGAAGACCAAGGGUUCGAUUUUGUAGAGAUCAAUCUCAACAAUAACAUCUAGAUCGAUUUUUAGGGAGUUUAUCUUCCUCUUGAGAUAGUACCCCACAAGCUCCUCUUCUGUUGGAUGAAAUCUGAAUCCUGGAGGCACACAUGAUUCCAUAUCAACUGAUGAUCUCUCCUGAAACAAGCAAAGGAAAAGGAGUCAUUUGUGAAAGAUCAAUUUCACCAUUUAUGUUUCCAUUUUAGACUGAAUAUUAUGCAUAGAAGUUUGUCUUGUUCUCUUUUACGUGAAUCAAGAGAAAAACAAAUGAUUAUGAAACGAAAAAUAAGACGCUCAAAUUGAUUUUGCAAAUUCCUGAUGGUAAGGGCAGCAUUGGAAGAUAAGGAAAAAAAUCAGUGGCCAUUGGCUUCGUGUUGCACUUCAUCAAAGUCAUAAUAGUUUACAACCUUAUAGCUCUAAAAACCUCUAGGGAUGAGAUAUUUUGAAGUAAUGAUGAUGAUGAUGAUGUAUAACUUUGGUAUUGGACCCAACAAUUGUGCA
RNAcentral lists this small RNA (848 nucleotides) under Vigna angularis var. angularis. RNAcentral's name for it is "Non-protein coding transcript". The record is from RNAcentral. Lineage: Eukaryota; Viridiplantae; Streptophyta; Magnoliopsida; Fabales; Fabaceae.